GGUUUUAUAGUAGAAAUAAAAUAUUGUAUUGCAAAUACAAAGAUGUAUAGAGAUAUACUAAAACUU
This 66-nucleotide transfer RNA is filed under the name Enoplolambrus validus. RNAcentral describes it as "tRNA-Cys". The record is from RNAcentral. Lineage: Eukaryota; Metazoa; Arthropoda; Malacostraca; Decapoda; Parthenopidae.